UUAGUUAAAGCCAAUAUUUGAGGCAUAUUAAUGUUAAUAAUAUUAUAGAGAACCUUUCUCUAACUAAG
This 68-nucleotide transfer RNA is filed under the name Macrogyropus costalimai. RNAcentral's name for it is "tRNA-Asn". The record is from RNAcentral. Lineage: Eukaryota; Metazoa; Arthropoda; Insecta; Psocodea; Gyropidae.